CAGUCGCCGCGGUAAUACGAAGGGGGCCAGCGUUGUUCGGAUUUACUGGGCGUAAAGCGCACGUAGGCGGAUCGAUCAGUCAGGGGUGAAAUCCCAGAGCUCAACUCUGGAACUGCCUUUGAUACUGUCGAUCUGGAGUAUGGAAGAGGUGAGUGGAAUUCCGAGUGUAGAGGUGAAAUUCGUAGAUAUUCGGAGGAACACCAGUGGCGAAGGCGGCUCACUGGUCCAUUACUGACGCUGAGGUGCGAAAGCGUGGGGAGCAAACAGGAUUAGAUACCCGAGUAGUCCCUGUCUCUUAUAC
Molecule: ribosomal RNA, 301 nt
Filed under: uncultured bacterium
Lineage: Bacteria
Description: partial 16S ribosomal RNA
Rfam family: Bacterial small subunit ribosomal RNA
Source: RNAcentral